Molecule: long non-coding RNA, 2808 nt
Organism: Betta splendens (Siamese fighting fish)
Lineage: Eukaryota; Metazoa; Chordata; Actinopteri; Anabantiformes; Osphronemidae
Exons: 3
Source: RefSeq, a predicted model, not a curated record
AUCUCCCUCAGCGCCUCGGAGCCGCGGGCCUCGCUCCGACAGGCCAGGAUGACGCGGGCCCCGCGCCGGGCGAAGUCCAGCGCUAUGAACUUCCCGAUGCCUGGCGAAGAGGAGGAGGGGAGAAGAACGAGGCUCCGUGUGAGAACUGGAGGAGAUGGACGUCGCUGGUUUCCCUGCUGGUAUUUACUGGUGGACACACAGCAAAGCUGCACAUCAGAGGUGGGAACGGAGAAAGUGAGGCCUCCAGAGCCUCAAAGCCUGAAGUGUUUACAACCUACAGACUGACAGGGGUCCUCACUGGGAAUGACUGAAAAGUACCUCAAAAAAUGAAACACAGGACAAGGUUCAGCAGAGAAAAGUGCACAAGCAGCUGAAAAGCCACCGACAGAACGAUGGAUCUGGGCGAAAAGCAUGUCAAGCCCAGAACACAGCAUCACAGGACACGUGUGACCUCACAGUGCCCGAGGAACGAAGUGAAAGCAGAAGGAAUGCUGAUUUUCCAGCACGGAACUAGAUACAAGGAUUGACGCAUUGAGGCGUCGCACUUGGUUUGUCUUUGCCAUCGGACUCAUCGGUUUCUCACCCGCUCUGACCUAAUUUCAUGAAGUCAUUUUGUGAUUCCAGCAGUUUAUUUCAGAUCACUGACGAUCAUACUUCAGCCAGUCUCUUUGCUGAUCUGUGCUCCAUUCUGAAACCAUUGAGUAUUUUAAAGUAGCGUUUUUACAUGAAGUGGACGUAAUUCUGAAUCACAUCCCUUAACCAGUAUGACCAGUAUGACCAGUGCACGGUCUAAUGUCAUCUUAAUGGAAAGUUUCCAGCUGAUUGACACACUUCUCUGGCAGGUUGAGUUCAUCCACCCACCGACUCAUCAUGAGACGAGCGGCUCUGACUGGCCAGCGAGCGGUGACUCUUUAGAUUCAGUCGACGCAGUUGCUUCCAGCGUAGUGAAGGGAAUGACUCCUGCCAGCCGCGUCUCGCCACGCGCUCUGGGAAAAUCCAGCGUUCCGUCACACAACGCGUUUACAUUGACCGGGUCCUUUAAUUGUUUACCAGACACGGUUACAGCAAGGUUCAGCUCGUGUGUGGAUCCUACAUUCAUGUCCCUGUGUUCUGCUCUUUUCUGUUCUCUCCAUGUUGGGAUUUUUAAAAAUAUUUUACAUUUUAUUAACAUAAAUAUAUUUUCUAAUACUUUGAUAGAAGUAUCACCUUUCUGGUAGCUUCAACUUAAAAAGGGAGAAUUUAUAAGCUUGUAAAAAUAUAGACACAAACCAUAGUUAGCACUUCACUGGCAUUUCCUGCAAGGUCCAAGGUCCAAAGAGGUUUUCUUUCCAGACAUUUGCGACCAUUUGCCUCAGAAAUGAGGUUUUCCGCUGCCACGUUAAGAUCAAACGCUAAUGCCGGCGCGUUCAGAGCGCGUGCCAGCCCCGACGAGCGCGUGCGACCCACCUGUAUUGGCUCCCGUCACUAUAGCCGUCUUCCCCUUGAGCUGCACGGCGCAGGCUCGCGGGUCCCAGCGCGCUCUCCUCUGCUGCCGCAGCACGAGCGCCAGCAGCACGGUGGAAGCGGCCCACAGCGGGUGACAGAGCAAAUCCGUCCACAUCAUCUCGUCGUGCGAACGCGUGUGAGCGACAGCCGGGAGGGAGAGGGAGAGAGAGAGGGAGUGAGAGAGGGAGCGAGAGAGAGUCCGACAGAAGUACGGCGGUGGGUGGUGUCUGCGACGCUCCGAGCCCCAGAGCCGACUCAGAGGUCAGACGAGGGGGACACCAGUCCAUGGACUUUGGUGUGAACUCUCAGGUGAAGAGUAACCGACCUGACUCUUCACAGACAAACACUGUUGCCUCUUCAGAUCAACCAGGUGUGUUUCGCUCGUCCCUGCGCACGACCAAGUUAUGAAGCAGCAGGACGUUAAAAGGAAAAGGAGAACGACACAGAGACAGGAACAAAUGUUAAAAAUGAACCAGGGCUGGAUAUACUUUAGAAUGAGAUUUUAGGACAUUUCAGACUCACAAUAACCAGAUAAAUAAUUGAGGUUUUCUAUCGUUCCUCAUAUUUCUCGGCAGGGUUGGUUUAGAUGUUUCAGGGACAGACGAUAUCUAAAUAGUCCUUUUACCGUAACACUCGGUCAACCAGUCUCUUACAGCCCAAGUGUAACAAGUAUCUGACUUCAGAACCAGCUGCGCUCACUUUAUUGGUUCAUUGUUAAUAUUUAACUGGGUAAAGAUGUUGGUGAGCGUUAUCCAUUGUGGGGUUAAACAAUUGGAUUUAGGUGUGAAUCCAAAAAAAUAUUGGAUGUGCAAAAAUCACAGGUUUGAGCUUUUGCAUAAGACACUUGGCUUUAAUAUGAAUAAAAAAAGCAAAAAUGCAAUGAGAAUUCUGAAUUGUCACAUAAUCAGAGUUUUGUUGUUGCUUGUCUUGUUGUUUGGCCUCUUCUAAGGAGAAAAAUGACCCUCCUGCUUCAUCCUGGCUGCAUGUCUUCAUGCUCACGUCACCCAACAACGGGGGCUGGCGGAGAUGGAAGCAGCAGAACAUUACCACCACAUGGUAACAUCUUGGACACAGCAGAGCUCAGGACUCACAAUUAAAUCCAGGCUACACAUGGUUUGACUUAAGGGAAAGUAUGAUGGACUGUGAAACCUACAGACAAAUAAGCAGGUAUGACUGAAGAACCGACCAAAACAUUUACAUGGACUGAAACAAACGCUGAUACUUUCGUACUGAGUUGACACCAUGUUGGAAUGUUGAAAGUAAACUUGCUUAUGUAACAUUAAACAUGUGGUUUAAAAAAAAAAAAAGAAUACGGGAAAAGAA